This 500-nucleotide ribosomal RNA is filed under the name uncultured Comamonadaceae bacterium. Its description in RNAcentral is "partial 16S ribosomal RNA". Lineage: Bacteria; Pseudomonadati; Pseudomonadota; Betaproteobacteria; Burkholderiales; Comamonadaceae. The record is from RNAcentral.
CACGUAGUUAGCCGGUGCUUAUUCUUACGGUACCGUCAUGAUCCCCAGGUAUUAACCAGAGACUUUUCGUUCCGUACAAAAGCAGUUUACAACCCGAAGGCCUUCAUCCUGCACGCGGCAUGGCUGGAUCAGGGUUGCCCCCAUUGUCCAAAAUUCCCCACUGCUGCCUCCCGUAGGAGUCUGGGCCGUGUCUCAGUCCCAGUGUGGCUGAUCAUCCUCUCAGACCAGCUACAGAUCGCAGGCUUGGUAAGCUCUUAUCCCACCAACUACCUAAUCUGCCAUCGGCCGCUCCGUGAGCGCAAGGCCCGAAGGUCCCCUGCUUUCAUCCUGAGAUCGUAUGCGGUAUUAGCAAAGCUUUCGCCUCGUUAUCCCCCACUCUCGGGCACGUUCCGAUGUAUUACUCACCCGUUCGCCACUCGUCGGCACCCGAAGGCCCGUUACCGUUCGACUUGCAUGUGUAAGGCAUGCCGCCAGCGUUCAAUCUGAGCCAGGAUCAAACU